This 252-nucleotide ribosomal RNA is filed under the name uncultured bacterium. Its description in RNAcentral is "partial 16S ribosomal RNA". It matches the Rfam family "Bacterial small subunit ribosomal RNA", at positions 524 to 776 of the family's 1533-position model. The record is from RNAcentral.
UACGUAGGUCCCGAGCGUUGUCCGGAUUUAUUGGGCGUAAAGCGAGCGCAGGUGGUUUAUUAAGUCUGGUGUAAAAGGCAGUGGCUCAACCAUUGUAUGCAUUGGAAACUGGUAGACUUGAGUGCAGGAGAGGAGAGUGGAAUUCCAUGUGUAGCGGUGAAAUGCGUAGAUAUAUGGAGGAACACCGGUGGCGAAAGCGGCUCUCUGGCCUGUAACUGACACUGAGACGCGAAAGCGUGGGGAGCAAACAGG